GAUGAACGCUGGCGGCGUGCCUAACACAUGCAAGUCGAACGGAGUUAUUAUUAUGAAGUUUUCGGAUGGAUUAAUAAUAACUUAGUGGCGGACGGGUGAGUAACGCGUGGGUAACCUGCCUCAUACAGGGGGAUAACAGUUGGAAACGGCUGCUAAAACCGCAUAACAUUGCGAUGUCGCAUGACAAUGCAAUUAAAUAUUUAUAGGUAUGAGAUGGGCCCGCGUCUGAUUAGCUAGUUGGUGGGGUAAUGGCCUACCAAGGCGACGAUCAGUAGCCGGCUUGAGAGAGUGACCUGCCACAUUGGGACUGAGACACGGCCCAAGCUCCUACGGGAGGCAGCAGUGGGGAAUAUUGCACAAUGGGGGAAACCCUGAUGCAGCGACGCCGCGUGAGUGAAGAAGUAUUUCGGUAUGUAAAGCUCUAUCAGCAGGGAAGAAAAUGACGGUACCUGACUAAGAAGCCCCGGCUAACUACGUGCCAGCCGCCGCCGUAA
This 494-nucleotide ribosomal RNA is filed under the name uncultured bacterium. Its description in RNAcentral is "partial 16S ribosomal RNA". It matches the Rfam family "Bacterial small subunit ribosomal RNA", at positions 28 to 523 of the family's 1533-position model. The record is from RNAcentral.